CCGUACCAAGGCGACGAUCUGUAGCUGGUCUGAGAGGACGACCAGCCACACUGGGACUGAGACACGGCCCAGACUCCUACGGGAGGCAGCAGUGGGGAAUUUUGGACAAUGGGCGCAAGCCUGAUCCAGCCAUGCCGCGUGCGGGAAGAAGGCCUUCGGGUUGUAAACCGCUUUUGUCAGGGAAGAAACGGCUCGGGCUAAUACCUCGGGCUAAUGACGGUACCUGAAGAAUAAGCACCGGCUAACUACGUGCCAGCAGCCGCGGUAAUACGUAGGGUGCAAGCGUUAAUCGGAAUUACUGGGCGUAAAGCGUGCGCAGGCGGUUAUGCAAGACAGAUGUGAAAUCCCCGGGCUCAACCUGGGAACUGCAUUUGUGACUGCAUGACUUGAGUACGGUAGAGGGGGAUGGAAUUCCGCGUGUAGCAGUGAAAUGCGUAGAUAUGCGGAGGAACACCGAUGGCGAAGGCAAUCCCCUGGACCUGUACUGACGCUCAUGCACGAAAGCGUGGGGAGC
RNAcentral lists this ribosomal RNA (514 nucleotides) under uncultured bacterium. Its description in RNAcentral is "bacterial SSU rRNA". It matches the Rfam family "Bacterial small subunit ribosomal RNA", at positions 263 to 769 of the family's 1533-position model. The record is from RNAcentral.